UCGGCAAUGGGCGAAAGCCUGACCGAGCGACGCCGCGUGUGGGAUGAAGGCCUUCGGGUUGUAAACCACUGUCAACGGGGAGGAAAUGUAGGGGGGUACUCCCCUCUACUUGACCUAUCUGUGGAGGAAGUACGGGCUAAGUUCGUGCCAGCAGCCGCGGUAAGACGAACCGUACGAACGUUAUUCGGAAUUACUGGGCUUAAAGGGUGCGUAGGCGGUGCGGUAAGUUGGGUGUGAAAGCCCUCAGCUCAACUGAGGAAUUGCACUCAAAACUACCGUGCUAGAGGGAGACAGAGGUAAGCGGAACUCAAGGUGGAGCGGUGAAAUGCGUUGAUAUCUUGAGGAACACCGGUGGCGAAGGCGGCUUACUGGGUCUCUUCUGACGCUGAGGCACGAAAGCCAAGGUAGCAAACGGGAUUAGAUACCCCGGUAGUCUUGGCUGUAAACGAUGAGCACUUGAUUGAAGGGUCCUCCAUAGCCUUUCAGUCGUAGCGAAAGUGUUAAGUGCUCCGCCUGGGGAGUAUGGUCGCAAGGCUGAAACUCAAAGA
This 548-nucleotide ribosomal RNA is filed under the name uncultured Planctomycetota bacterium. RNAcentral's name for it is "bacterial SSU rRNA". It matches the Rfam family "Bacterial small subunit ribosomal RNA", at positions 365 to 907 of the family's 1533-position model. The record is from RNAcentral. Lineage: Bacteria; Pseudomonadati; Planctomycetota.